Molecule: ribosomal RNA, 413 nt
Filed under: uncultured Leuconostoc sp.
Lineage: Bacteria; Bacillati; Bacillota; Bacilli; Lactobacillales; Lactobacillaceae
Description: bacterial SSU rRNA
Rfam family: Bacterial small subunit ribosomal RNA
Source: RNAcentral
GGCGGCGUGCCUAAUACAUGCAAGUCGAACGCGCAGCGAGAGGUGCUUGCACCUUUCAAGCGAGUGGCGAACGGGUGAGUAACACGUGGAUAACCUGCCUCAAGGCUGGGGAUAACAUUUGGAAACAGAUGCUAAUACCGAAUAAAACUUAGUAUCGCAUGAUAUCAAGUUAAAAGGCGCUACGGCGUCACCUAGAGAUGGAUCCGCGGUGCAUUAGUUAGUUGGUGGGGUAAAGGCUUACCAAGACGAUGAUGCAUAGCCGAGUUGAGAGACUGAUCGGCCACAUUGGGACUGAGACACGGCCCAAACUCCUACGGGAGGCUGCAGUAGGGAAUCUUCCACAAUGGGCGCAAGCCUGAUGGAGCAACGCCGCGUGUGUGAUGAAGGCUUUCGGGUCGUAAAGCACUGUUGUA